Molecule: transfer RNA, 67 nt
Filed under: Cucujoidea sp. 37 KM-2017
Lineage: Eukaryota; Metazoa; Arthropoda; Insecta; Coleoptera
Description: tRNA-Ser
Source: RNAcentral
AGUUAAUGAACUUGUUAAAGUGUAUAUUUUGAAAAUAUAAAAAAGAAACGGGAUUUUCUAUUAACUU